RNAcentral lists this long non-coding RNA (3825 nucleotides) under Salmo salar (Atlantic salmon). RNAcentral describes it as "lncRNA (ENSSSAG00000115143.1)". The record is from RNAcentral. Lineage: Eukaryota; Metazoa; Chordata; Actinopteri; Salmoniformes; Salmonidae.
AAUGAUGUAACGUCUUUUUUUAAUAUGUACACCUACCAAAAACUCGACACAGGAAAUGCAUUGCUUCACAUAUUCUGGUUUCAUAUACAGUUCAGUCAGAACAUUCUGGGCCAUUAUACAGUUCACCUGAGAACAAGUUGUAAAACCAAACCAAAGUUGAGAGACGAUCCAAAGACACCAUCACAAGGGUCAAAUAAACCUUAUAUAACCGUUUAUUUUUAAAUAUAGUAUAUUCACCUUGAAAAUGUUAAAACAUCCGUCUAUGGCCUAAAUUGUAUGGCGUGCAGUAUUGCACAAAAUGUUGAAUCAUCACAUCUAGGGUUGCAAAAUUCCCAGGUUUUCCAGAAAUCCCAGUUGGUAGAUUCCAGGAAUCAGGUGGAAAUACACAGACAAUCCUGAAUCCUCCGACCAGGAUUUCUGGAACACCUGGGAAUUUUGGGAAAGUUAGGGUCAUUCUGUAACCCUGAUCACAUCCACAUUUCGCAUAGUACAUAAGACUGUGCACCCACUGACCACCAAAACAUGUUACAGCAAUAACCAAUUCACAUAACUGUAUUCUUUCAUAAAAUCCUUACCUCAUGUAUUCCAAUUAAAAACAUUGAGAGCAUCAAUAGGCAACAUUUUAAAGUAGAAAAAUGUUUAUCAACGCUCAACAACUGCAUACAAAGUGUGCAAGUGUCACUGUACAGUCGCACAAGACAAAUUCAAGCAAAGGCACCAUACUCAUAUAGUGAAGCUUCCAUUCCACCCAUACUGGUCACAGAACAACAAAAAUGUACUACAACCACUGCUGACAAAAAUAAGCAACUCUAAUAUUAAAUCUGUCAGAUAAAAGAAUAGUGGUUUAUGAUCAUAACCAUACUACAAUAACAUUGGAUCAGUGGCAUUUUAUGAAUAUGAUAAAUUACUGUAGCAAGACAUUUCUUUUUUUUUUUUUACAGAAAUGUAACUAUUUUCUAAAUCAUAUGAGCCUCUACACAACUCCCUGGAGAGAAAGUUUUGCUUUCCAAUGUUAUGUUAAUUUGAGUUGAUUUUGCAAUUCAGACAGUUCUAAAGUGGGCAACAUUCAACCCUUGUGUUGAGGUAGAGAAUGCUAACAUUUAGCCUGUUGUGGCUGAAGCAAAGUAAUGAAACCCUAAUCCUAGACGUAGUCACUACUGGUCUAUGACUACUUCCAAGAUAAGUAAAAUAAUGGAAAUAUUACUUUUGAACAAACUGUCCCUUUAAGGGAAUAAUAUUGGGACCAAAUUAACUGAAUCGAACACUAGAGCACAAAGUCUUCAAAACAAUAAUUUUACAAAGACAUUUCCAUACCACAGAACAAUGAUAAUAAAAAAGUUGUGUUUAAAUUCAUGUCAGCUUACUAAUAUCCAUCAAACUGUGCAUUUCUGGAGAACCUUUUUAGGUAGUGCAAUAGAAUUUCUCGCAGUACAACAUUGAAUCACCAUUCAGUCUGAUUUAUAAUAUACUAAUACUGACAUUCCAGAGAGAUAGAUACUGACCAUCCAUUUUCAUUGCAUACACAACAGCUGAAAUUACAAAGCCACAGUUUCCAAGAAGUACCACAGCAAAUGUUUACAACGGUGAGUUAAAGUGAUAGGGAACGUCAUGUAAGUUAGUUUUCCUCAUAGAGGACGAUCUAUGAUAAUUCAUUGUCUUCCACCUGGUCUUCUGAACCAUAAUGGAAAAUGUCUGAGGAGGAUACCACAUUGUCAUGUCUGUCUGUGGCAGGAGGGUCACAGACCAAUUGAGGUGUGAGGGAGGGAUUUACAACAACAAAUCGGCAACCAUGUGCAAAGUCCCCUGCAUGUCGCUGAUAUAGUACAGUAAUGAUCUGCUCCUGUGAUUGGCCGAUGUAGAUCCAAGAGAGCAGUGACGUCCUCCAUUAUUCACACAGAGCUUUCAGAUUAGAUCAGCAGUGUUUGCAGCUAUAUUGGAAUGACAUCAUCAUUAGUUCUCCUGAGAACUCCCAUUCAAAUUCCCCUGAAAUAAAAACACAGCCACAAUAAAACCAGCGUGGCAAAGGGCUUAUUCAGCCUGAAGUCACAGUCUAGAAUGAAACAUUUUCCAUAUCUAGCAGAUGUAAAGAGUAAAACAUCUAAUCGCUUAUGGAGAAACAUCAAAGUCAAAUUCACGGGCUCAGAAGAGGACAAAUACAUCAACUUGCAUUUACAUUUUCACAAGCAUUUUGAUGCGUCGCAAGUACAGUGAGCUUCAAAAGUAUUGGGACUGACAUGUUGUUUUGGCUCUGUACUCCAGCACUUUGGAUUUGAAAUGAUACAAUGACUGAGGUUAAAGUGCUGACUUACAGAGCCAAAACAACAACAAAUGUCAGUCCAAAUAUGUUUGAAGCUCACUGUUAGUGGCAACAUCUCCAUAUCCAGUUGACUAUGACAGAAAGUAAAGCUGCCUUUCAAAAAUUGUCCAUAGAAAAAUAUCCAUUGAAUGCCACGGUUAGAUUAGAAAAAUAAAGAGGGCCAAACUACAGGGAGAGUGGAGUGGAGGGGGAGGAGCCAGGUCAGGUCCAGGCCACUUUCCUUGAGAUGGCCUGCUUGAAGCACUCUGGGUCCACGUUGCCUCCAGGCCGCAGAGCUCUCUCCAGGCUCACCAGGACAUUCUGGUGACACUCCCUGAUGUUAACAGGGUACUUGGCCCUCAGCAGCUCGUAGGCCGAGAUCAGCCGCAUAUUCUGCUUCACCAUGAGGUACUGGAUGAUACAGGUCGGAGCCAGGGAGUACCCGUCACGGCAGUGGACCAGCACUCGUUUCCUUUUUUCCGUGGAAGCCUCGAUGCACUCGUUGAUGUCCUCGAAGCAGUGCUGCUUCAGGGCGGGGCUUCCCUCGCCCAGCGCGUCUGGGACAUCGCAGAUGUCCACCUUGAGGCGGGACCAGCUGUGGCGGGCGCCUCGGGAGCAGGUGCAAGGGAUAAGGCUGAGGCUUGGGCCGGGGUCCCCCGGCAUGCUGCUCAUGUCGAUGAUGCUGUCAAUGUUGUUGCGACACAGCGUGCGCCCGUUGUACGCUGCGUUCAGGUUGCCCACGAAGAUGUAGUCCGUCACCUUGGAGAUGACGGGCUCAGAGUACUGGAAGUGUUCCGGGACGUUCAGUUUGGGUGUGUCUGGGGUGUCUGGUGGACCCGUCCUACCCACUGCCCCCACCCCGGCCGGACCUGUGGCAGCCCUCAUGCUGUAGUUACGCAGCUUCUUGGAGCCGGAGCGGGAGGGGGGGUUGGAGUCGGACUCUGAGCUGCUGUUCCAGGGAGGGGAAAAUAGGGAGAAGCGGCUGGAGGACUUGCUCUUGGUGAGGUUCUCCACGGGGCUGGAUAGGCCAGAGCUGGAGGCCGUGGUGGAACCAGAGGCACAAAACAACGAGGCCCUCUCCAGGGAGCCUGUGCUGCUGGCUGCUCCUGCACUGUGGGCCUGCUCCAUCUGCAGGGAGACACAAACGACAUCAAACACACACACAAAGCAUACUGAAGUAGGGCACCAUACCAAAAGAUAGGACACCGAUAUUUUCUAAGAAAUUCAUUUUGGGAUGCCAGCAAUACAUUCAAAUACUAGUAACAAUCAGGGGCUGGAACCGAAAAGGUAUUUUUUUGGGGGGAGGAACAGAACCAGAACCGACAACGAAUGUGAUCUAAACUGUUCUGGAACAGAGCCAUUAUUUUAAAAAGCAUGGCAACCGGUUAACGUUAUUUUACAUUCCGGACAUUUUUUCCCAGUCCCACAAAAAAAAACAAUAAAGCACCUAUGCAGAGCCCUCACUGUCAACUCAGAAACUAAUUCCAGUGUCUGCCUGCCAGCAGGAAAUCUUUGUCAGUGUGUGUGUG